This 127-nucleotide ribosomal RNA is filed under the name Propithecus coquereli (Coquerel's sifaka). The record is from RNAcentral. Lineage: Eukaryota; Metazoa; Chordata; Mammalia; Primates; Indriidae.
UACAGCCAUACCACCCUGAACACACCCUAUCUUGUCUGAUCUGGAAGCUAAGCAGGGUUGGUCCUCGUUAGUAGUUGGAUGAUUUCAUUUCUUUUAGGUAUAUACCCAGUAAAUGGGAUUGCUGGAU